UCUAUAUUGAACCUAAGACAAGUGGGAGCCAUUCUACCAAACACUCUGCUGAAUACUAUCACUAUCAACACAUACAACAACAUCAUACAAAGGCAAUUCUAAAGACAACUAUGGCUGGAGCAUCUCAAUCCGUUAAUCACACAGAUUUGAACAUCGAAGUUCCAGAACUUAGGGGCGACAACUAUAAAAUGUGGAAGGAAACUAUAAGUUCCAGAACUCGGCCACGGGCUGACCUUGACUCGGCCGAGAUCAGCCUCGGUCGGGGUGGCCGCGGCCGAGGUCAGCCUCAGCUGAGCCCGUCACUUGGCCGAGGUCAGCCCUCGGCCAAGUGAUGGGUCUUGGGUCCGCGCGCAUCCGGGUCUCGCGGCGGAGGUUGCGGUCUGAGCCGUUGGGCACGCUUUCCAUGCAAUUCCUCCGAGUCUGUUAGGCCUAAAGCAAAUAUAAAAGCAUGCUAGUUUGUCUUGUUAGGACAUCUACACUUAUUCUUAUCACUCUUGUCUUGUUAUUACACAAGCAUUGUUUGUAAUAGCGUUAUCCAUUAUUUAAUAUACACUUAUCCCACAGUACACUUUGAUCCA
Molecule: long non-coding RNA, 578 nt
Organism: Ipomoea triloba (trilobed morning glory)
Lineage: Eukaryota; Viridiplantae; Streptophyta; Magnoliopsida; Solanales; Convolvulaceae
Exons: 2
Source: RefSeq, a predicted model, not a curated record